GUGCUUGCUUUGGCAGCACAUAUAUUAAAGUUGGAAAGAUACAAAGAAGAUUAACAUGGCCCCUGUGCAAGGAUGACAUACAAAUUUGUAAAGUGUUCCACAUUAAG
This 107-nucleotide small nuclear RNA is filed under the name Microcebus murinus (gray mouse lemur). Lineage: Eukaryota; Metazoa; Chordata; Mammalia; Primates; Cheirogaleidae. The record is from RNAcentral.